RNAcentral lists this ribosomal RNA (434 nucleotides) under Klebsiella pneumoniae. Its description in RNAcentral is "bacterial SSU rRNA". It matches the Rfam family "Bacterial small subunit ribosomal RNA", at positions 1098 to 1532 of the family's 1533-position model. The record is from RNAcentral. Lineage: Bacteria; Pseudomonadati; Pseudomonadota; Gammaproteobacteria; Enterobacterales; Enterobacteriaceae.
GCAACCCUUAUCCUUUGUUGCCAGCGGUCCGGCCGGGAACUCAAAGGAGACUGCCAGUGAUAAACUGGAGGAAGGUGGGGAUGACGUCAAGUCAUCAUGGCCCUUACGACCAGGGCUACACACGUGCUACAAUGGCAUAUACAAAGAGAAGCGACCUCGCGAGAGCAAGCGGACCUCAUAAAGUAUGUCGUAGUCCGGAUUGGAGUCUGCAACUCGACUCCAUGAAGUCGGAAUCGCUAGUAAUCGUAGAUCAGAAUGCUACGGUGAAUACGUUCCCGGGCCUUGUACACACCGCCCGUCACACCAUGGGAGUGGGUUGCAAAAGAAGUAGGUAGCUUAACCUUCGGGAGGGCGCUUACCACUUUGUGAUUCAUGACUGGGGUGAAGUCGUAACAAGGUAACCGUAGGGGAACCUGCGGUUGGAUCACCUCCUU